Molecule: ribosomal RNA, 460 nt
Filed under: uncultured bacterium
Lineage: Bacteria
Description: partial 16S ribosomal RNA
Rfam family: Bacterial small subunit ribosomal RNA
Source: RNAcentral
CCUACGGGAGGCGGCAGUGAGGAAUAUUGGUCAAUGGACGAGAGUCUGAACCAGCCAAGUAGCGUGAAGGAUGACUGCCCUAUGGGUUGUAAACUUCUUUUAUAUGGGAAUAAAACGUUCCACGUGUGGGAUUUUGUAUGUACCAUAUGAAUAAGGAUCGGCUAACUCCGUGCCAGCAGCCGCGGUAAUACGGAGGAUCCGAGCGUUAUCCGGAUUUAUUGGGUUUAAAGGGAGCGUAGGUGGAUUGUUAAGUCAGUUGUGAAAGUUUGCGGCUCAACCGUAAAAUUGCAGUUGAAACUGGCAGUCUUGAGUACAGUAGAGGUGGGCGGAAUUCGUGGUGUAGCGGUGAAAUGCUUAGAUAUCACGAAGAACUCCGAUUGCGAAGGCAGUUCACUGGACUGCAACUGACACUGAGGCUCGAAAGUGUGGGUAUCAAACAGGAUUAGAUACCCCAGUAGUC